GAUGAAGAACGCAGCGAAAUGCGAUAAGUAAUGUGAAUUGCAGAAUUCAGUGAAUCAUCGAAUCUUUGAACGCACAUUGCGCCCGCCAGUAUUCUGGCGGGCAUGCCUGUUCGAGCGUCAUUACAACCCUCAGGCCCCCGGGCCUGGCGUUGGGGAUCGGCGGAAGCCCCCUGCGGGCACAACGCCGUCCCCCAAAUACAGUGGCGGUCCCGCCGCAGCUUCCAUUGCGUAGUAGCUAACACCUCGCAACUGGAGAGCGGCGCGGCCACGCCGUAAAACACCCAACUUCUGAAUGUUGACCUCGAAUCAGGGAGGAAUACCCGCUGAACUUAAGCAUAUCAAUAAGCGGAGGA
This 353-nucleotide unclassified non-coding RNA is filed under the name soil metagenome. RNAcentral's name for it is "partial contains 5.8S ribosomal RNA, internal transcribed spacer 2, and large subunit ribosomal RNA". The stretch from base 1 to 120 matches the Rfam family "5.8S ribosomal RNA", at positions 35 to 154 of the family's 154-position model. The record is from RNAcentral.